This is an RNA transcript of Astyanax mexicanus (Mexican tetra), 2119 nucleotides long. It is a transcript of the gene named very long-chain acyl-CoA synthetase, with no coding region annotated. NCBI's taxonomy places the organism in Eukaryota, Metazoa, Chordata, Actinopteri, Characiformes, Acestrorhamphidae. The record is from RefSeq and is a predicted model, not a curated record. The transcript is spliced from 10 exons.
UUAGGUGGACCUUGAACGGCUCGGGACUCUGCAGAGCGCUGCAGAUCAGACGAGAUGGAAGUACUAUACACUGUUGUUUUGGGAGCAGCUUUAAUUUUGUUUUUUUGUUUCUUUAAGUUUCCUUAUUUCCUGCAGGACUGCAGGUUCAUGAGGAAAAUGCUGGUAGUCCGUUCCAAGAGGAUGAAGUUUAGAGAGAAAACUCCUUUCUACUCAGUUCUUGAUUGUUUUCUGGACGUAGUAAAGAAACAACCACACAAGCCCUUCAUCUUGUAUGAGGAUCAGGUGCACACUUACCUGCAGGUGGACCAGGCGAGUAAUAAGGUGGCACAGGCACUGCAGUUGCACGCUGGUUCCACCGUGGCGCUGCUUCUGGAAAAUGGGCCGGUGCUGGUGUGGAUGUGGCUGGGCCUGUUUAAGCUCGGAUGUCCUGUUUCCAUGCUCAACACCAACAUCAGGACCAAAUCCCUCCUGCACUGCUUCAGAUGUUGUGGAGCGUCUGUCCUGAUCGCUGGAGCAGAGCAUCGAGAGGCAGUGUGUGAGGUGCUCCCAGACCUGCUGGCAGAACAUGUGCGUGUGUAUAUCCUGGGGGAUGCAGGUGGGGUGGAGGGGCUUCACAGUCUUACUGAAAAAAUACAGCAAAGCCCAAACACACCUGUACCUCACACACUCAGAGACAACAUCACCAUGAGCAGCACUGGACUCUUCAUCUACACCUCAGGAACCACAGGUUUACCUAAAGCAACACUGAUUCCUCAGGACAAAAUAUGGGGUGCACCAUUUUUUCCAUACCUGACAGGAGUGAAGGCGGAUGACGUGUUGUACAUCCCGCUGCCCCUUUACCACGGAGCAGGACUGCUGAUUGGCCUGGCUGGUGCCAUAGAACGAGGUAUCACAGUGGUGUUGAGGAGGAAGUUCUCAGUGUCUCAGUUCUGGAAGGACUGCAGGAAGUACGACGUGACAGCGUUUCAGUACAUCGGAGAAGUCAUGCGCUACCUCUGUAACACACCUAAGACAGACACCGACCGUCAGCACAAAGUCAGACUGGCCAUUGGGAACGGGUUGAGGGCCGACGUGUGGCAGGAGUUCCAGCGUAGGUUUGGAUCUGUGGAUAUUCAAGAGUUCUACGCUGCCUCUGAUGGGAUCCUGAGCUUCAUAAACUAUGUGGGGAAAGUGGGAGCUGUGGGCAGAGUCAACUUCUACCAGAAGAAAAUGUUUCCCCACGCACUGAUUCAGUACGACGCAGAACGAGAGGAGCCAGUCCGAGACAGGGAGGGGCGCUGUGUACCUGUUCCCACAGGUGAAACUGGUCUCCUGGUGGUGAAGAUAACGAAGCUGGCUCCAUUUGUGGGCUAUGCUGGGAAUCCGGAGCAGACGGAGAAGAAGAGGCUGAGGGACGUUUUUGAGAAGGGAGAUGUUUAUUUUAACAGUGGAGACCUGAUGAGAAUGGACAAUGAAGACUUCAUCUACUUCCAGGAUCGAAUUGGAGACACUUUCAGAUGGAAGGGAGAGAACGUGGCGACAAUGGAAGUUUCUGACGUUAUGACUAUGCUGGAAUUUAUUGAAGACUGCAAUGUGUAUGGCGUUGAAGUUCCAGGUCACGAGGGUCGUAUUGGCAUGGCAGCGGUUACUCUGAAAGAAGGCAGAGAGUUUGAGGCUAAAGAGGCGUUCAUCCACGUCUGUAACUUCCUGCCUGUUUACGCCAGGCCGAGAUUCAUACGCAUCCUGGUAAAAUAUUCACAUGCAAAUAGAUAACACACAAAUACAGAAUAUUCUACAGUGCUUGAGAUGAAAAUGGUUAGAGUGGGUUUUGAAGAGUAUGGGCCCUAUUGUAACGACCUAUAGGAGAGCUGCAUACCAAAAGUAGUAAAAUGGGGGUGGCUUAACUGCUUUAGACUUUACGAGUGAAGCUUAACUAAUGUGGAUUCUGUAUGAUGAAUGGGUGGAGCUGAAAUGCUGCAGGAUGAAUGAGUAAAGCUGAAAUACUGUAGGUUGAAUGGGUGGAGGUGAAAUACUGUAGGAUGAAUGGGUGGAGCUUAAAUACUGUAGGUUGAAUGGGUGGAGGUGAAAUACUGUAGGAUGAAUGGGUGGAGCUUAAAUACUGUAGGUUGAAUGGGUGGAG